GAUGAACGCUGGCGGCGUGCCUAAUACAUGCAAGUCGAGCGAACGGACGAGAAGCUUGCUUCUCUGAUGUUAGCGGCGGACGGGUGAGUAACACGUGGAUAACCUACCUAUAAGACUGGGAUAACUUCGGGAAACCGGAGCUAAUACCGGAUAAUAUUUUGAACCGCAUGGUUCAAAAGUGAAAGACGGUCUUGCUGUCACUUAUAGAUGGAUCCGCGCUGCAUUAGCUAGUUGGUAAGGUAACGGCUUACCAAGGCAACGAUGCAUAGCCGACCUGAGAGGGUGAUCGGCCACACUGGACCUAGGACACGGUCCAGACCCCUACGGGAGGCAGAGGAAGGGAAUCUUCGGCAAGGGGCGAAACCCUGACGGAGCAAGGCGGCGGGAGUGAGGAAGUUCUCCGGUUCGAAAACCUUUUUAAUAGGGGAAAAAAAUAUGUGUAAGAAACUGUGAAAACCUGACCGGUACCUAACAAGAAAGCCCCGCCUACCUACGG
Molecule: ribosomal RNA, 496 nt
Filed under: uncultured bacterium
Lineage: Bacteria
Description: partial 16S ribosomal RNA
Rfam family: Bacterial small subunit ribosomal RNA
Source: RNAcentral